This is a non-coding RNA of Aspergillus tanneri, 111 nucleotides long. NCBI's taxonomy places the organism in Eukaryota, Fungi, Ascomycota, Eurotiomycetes, Eurotiales, Aspergillaceae. The record is from the annotation of a RefSeq genome assembly.
ACUCCCGUAGCUCAACUGGUUAGAGCGUCAAGCUUAUAUGACAAGAUAUGUCACAUACUGUCGUAUGCCUAAGCCUCUUGGAGGUUGGGAGUUCGAUCCUCCCCGGGAGUA